RNAcentral lists this ribosomal RNA (253 nucleotides) under uncultured bacterium. Its description in RNAcentral is "partial 16S ribosomal RNA". It matches the Rfam family "Bacterial small subunit ribosomal RNA", at positions 524 to 776 of the family's 1533-position model. The record is from RNAcentral.
UACGGAGGGUGCGAGCGUUGUCCGGAAUCACUGGGCGUAAAGGGCGCGUAGGUGGCGCGGGUAGUCAUCGGUGAAAGCUCAGGGCUCAACCCUGAGUCGGCCGGUGAUACUCCCGUGCUCGAGUGUGGUAGAGGCCAAUGGAAUUCCGGGUGUAGCGGUGGAAUGCGUAGAGAUCCGGAAGAACACCGGUGGCGAAGGCGGUUGGCUGGGCCACAACUGACACUGAUGCGCGACAGCGUGGGGAGCAAACAGG